Molecule: long non-coding RNA, 1280 nt
Organism: Capsicum annuum
Lineage: Eukaryota; Viridiplantae; Streptophyta; Magnoliopsida; Solanales; Solanaceae
Exons: 2
Source: RefSeq, a predicted model, not a curated record
UAGUUGAAUUGUGUUCUCUCAUUUUAUGUUACUCUCUCCUUUUAUUAGCUACGGAGUCUUUUUCCAAAACAGAUGAUAUUUUCCUAUUCGUUCGUUCUUCGUUUUCCCUUUUUGUUUUCAUUAUUUCUUCUUUUCCAUAUUGAUAGAAUGUUGUUGGAUUUUAGCUUUGAAAUUAAAGAAAUACUGCAAUUGUAUUGUCAAAGGAAAUUGUUUUAUUAAUAAAACAAACACAUACAUUUAUAACUAAAUUUCUAACUAAACUUCCAUUCAAAUUCAAAUAACAGGAUAACUAAUUCCUGAGACUAAGCCACACAGAAUUCCAAUAAUUUAAAACUAUUAAUAGUUAUCUAGUUCUACUUUAUUUCUGAGACAUAUCUUCAAUACUCCUCCUUGAAUCAGAAAUUGUAGAUUGAAGGCUCGAAUGAAUUUGAUGUAACACCCCGUAUAAUUCUUGGCUUGAUUUAACUCUUAGUUGUAUGCAUAGGGAGUUUAAGGCCAAAAACUUUUGUAAGUGUUGGGGACAUAGUCAUAUUUUAAGCCUCUUAACUUCGAGAAUUUUGUAAUUGAUCUUUCCGACCCUGAAACAUAGACUUUUGAAUUAAUUCAUGUUCGGGGAUGUAAUGGGCAUGUCUCAGAAAAUUUUUUGAUUUUUCGGAUGGGGGUUGUGUUGUGUUUGGUUUUCGGUUCCAGAACUUCACUGCGAUAGCGGUGCAUCGCGGUGAGACCUUUACCGCAUUGCGGUGCCCUUGUCAUCGGCGUUCCAAUCACGAAUUUAAUUUCCAGAAAGGAAAUGUGGUCUUUUCCUCUCAUUUCAAUUCGUAAAUUGACGUAUUAUAUCAUCAAUUAGGGCAAAUAUUUCCCAUUCUCAUCAAUUAUACUCUCAAGCAAACCCUUCUCUCUUCCCAAAAACAAGAAUUCAAUUCUCUCAAGUUCAAGAAUUGCAAGAAAAUAGCAAGAUUAGGGUUUCAUUCUUCAAACAAAGAAACUUAAGGAUCUGAGGCUCAGUCCCGGGGUCCCGCUAAGUAGUAGAUCAUUGUCAGACGUUUAGAGUUGGUGAGCCUCCAUUAUUUCGAAAGGCCUUGCUUCAUCUGAUUUUUUUAAUUAGUUUUAGUUCAUGGUACGUCUGGGGAACUUGUCCCGAUUUCAGACAGAUGUUGUUUUCAGUUUAGUAGAGAUUUUGCAGACUUGUGUUAGAUGGUUUUGGGUCUUUUAUGAACUUAUAUCCACGUUGGCUAGUUGAAUUAAUAAGAUGGUCAUGAUCCCCGUUUAUUUCUGCAUUA